This 460-nucleotide ribosomal RNA is filed under the name uncultured bacterium. RNAcentral's name for it is "partial 16S ribosomal RNA". It matches the Rfam family "Bacterial small subunit ribosomal RNA", at positions 338 to 795 of the family's 1533-position model. The record is from RNAcentral.
CCUACGGGGGGCAGCAGUGAGGAAUAUUGGUCAAUGGACGAGAGUCUGAACCAGCCAAGUCGCGUGAGGGAUGACGGUCCUAUGGAUUGUAAACCUCUUUUGUCGGGGAGCAAGGCCCGCCACGUGUGGCGGGAAGGAGAGUACCCGAAGAAAAAGCAUCGGCUAACUCCGUGCCAGCAGCCGCGGUAAUACGGGGGAUGCGAGCGUUAGCCGGAUUUAUUGGGUUUAAAGGGUGCGUAGGCGGAAGGUUAAGUCAGCGGUAAAAUGUCGGUGCUCAACACCGGCCUGCCGUUGAAACUGGUCUUCUUGAGUGAGCGAGAAGUAUGCGGAAUGCGUGGUGUAGCGGUGAAAUGCAUAGAUAUAACGCAGAACUCCGAUUGCGAAGGCAGCAUACCGGCGCUCAACUGACGCUGAGGCACGAAAGCGUGGGGAUCGAACAGGAUUAGAUACCCCUGUAGUC